Molecule: non-coding RNA, 1085 nt
Filed under: Cryptosporidium parvum
Lineage: Eukaryota; Apicomplexa; Conoidasida; Eucoccidiorida; Cryptosporidiidae
Source: RNAcentral
AUGCUAGUUUUGAACUUUGAGCUAAUAAUAAUGUGAAUCGAAAAAAAAAUUAAUGGUGUGAAUAUUAUAAUCAGUAAAAUUAAGGAAAAUGUUUGAGUGGCAUCCUCGGGAUUUAGUCGAAAAUAGACAUUCCCAAGAAGGUGACCAGAAUUAGAGUUGUAGUGAUGGUAGUAACAAAGAUAAUAGUGUGUAGUUGUUUGAUGAUUAACGGGAAAUUUAUAAUCAAAAUGACCAUCUUUUAAAUAACCAUUUGAUUUACUUGGACUCCAUGAGUAAGUUUGUAUGAUAUGACUUCCUUUGGGAGACAACUUUGUAGGCUGUAAAAUCUUGAGAGACUCAUCCUCCGGAAAUCCCUGACAUAGAUAAUCCUUCUUCAGAGAAACUAUUGAAAAUGCUGCUUUGCUUAUUUGUAAUGAACUUGAAGAAAGCACAAACUCCAAGUUCCAACCAGGAUUAACUAAAACUCUGACAUCAACAAUAAAUCUAUUGAAAGGAUAUAUCUUUGGAAUCUCCAUAUUAUCUUUAAAUAUUUCAAAUUUCCAUCCACCAAUAUCAUCUCCUGAUACAGAAGGACUUAGAAUUUUAAAAUUCUCACUCUUUUUUUCUCCAUUACAUAAACAUGCUCUUGGAGAAUUAAACAAAUAUUCUGAUAAUGUAUUUCGAAUUCCAGCAAUGCUUCCUAGAUUGAAAAUCCUACAAAUAGGCAAAUCUUCAUCAAUAAAUGAUGGUAUCCAUUUAUUUUCUGGCGUGAAUUCCAAGUAGUCACAAACCUUUGCAACUCCUUGCUCGUCAUUCAUAUACUUUUUGCAGUCGAAAUCCCCACAGCUCACUCCCUUACCUAUUAUCAAACACUCUCCUCUUCUCUCUUCUUUACUCCUUUCCCACUCUAAUCUCACAUUCUCCUCCCAUAUACGAACAAUUAAAUCCCCAGAUCCAUUUCCUACUGAAAUGGGAAUCACUCCAACUUUUGGAUUCCUAUAUGGAAAUAAUACAGAACUUUCAUCACCAGUUAUACCAAAUACUCUCCCUACUAAUAACGCAACAUCUAACCAAAUUACCCUUAAAACCCAUAAAUUCAUCCAAAC